AGAGUUUGAUCCUGGCUCAGAAUGAACGCUGGCGGCGUGGAUAAGACAUGCAAGUCGAACGAAGAACUGAUUAGUUUACUAUGAGGUUCUUAGUGGCGAACGGGUUAGUAACGCGUGAGCAACCUGCCUUAAAGUGGGGGAUAGUCCUGGGAAACUGGGUUUAAUACCGCAUGUGCCCCUCCUUUAGUGGAGUGGGUAAAGCUGCCUUCGGGUGGUGCUUUAAGAUGGGCUCGCGUCCUAUCAGCUUGUUGGUGAGGUAAAGGCUCACCAAGGCGACGACGGGUAGCUGGUCUGAGAGGAUGAUCAGCAACACUGGAACUGAGACACGGUCCAGACACCUACGGGUGGCAGCAGUCGAGAAUCAUUCACAAUGGACGAAAGUCUGAUGGUGCAACGCCGCGUGGAGGAUGAAGGCCCUAGGGUCGUAAACUCCUGUCAUGUGAGAGUAAGGCAUAAUCGUUAAUAGCUUUUAUGUUUGAUAGUAUCACAAGAGGAAGGGACGGCUAACUUCGUGCCAGCAGCCGCGGUAAUACGAAGGUCCCGAGCGUUAUUCGGAAUCACUGGGCGUAAAGGGAGCGUAGGCGGCGCGGUAAGUCAGAUGUGAAAUCUCAAGGCUCAACCUUGAAACUGCAUCCGAUACUGCCGUGCUAGAGUAAUGGAGGGGUAACUGGAAUUCUCGGUGUAGCAGUGAAAUGCGUA
This 699-nucleotide ribosomal RNA is filed under the name uncultured bacterium. RNAcentral describes it as "bacterial SSU rRNA". It matches the Rfam family "Bacterial small subunit ribosomal RNA", at positions 8 to 692 of the family's 1533-position model. The record is from RNAcentral.